CUUACAAGAGCUCUCAUGAAAAGCCCAAGAAAACCCCCUGCCGACUCCACCUAAGGCUCUGGCUACUGCUCUGACUCUCUCUGCAGCUCCUUUACCUCUCAGAUGCUCACUAUCGACUCCAACCAGCUACUCACUGUUCCAUGGGCCAUUAGGCCACUUUUAUAAAGAAAAAACCCAACCUCCAUCGAAAUCCUACCUUCAAAAGGACUCCAAUUCCCUUCCUGGCCAUUG
This 231-nucleotide long non-coding RNA is filed under the name Elaeis guineensis (African oil palm). RNAcentral's name for it is "long non-coding RNA (EGUI_LNC051441)". The record is from RNAcentral. Lineage: Eukaryota; Viridiplantae; Streptophyta; Magnoliopsida; Arecales; Arecaceae.